RNAcentral lists this long non-coding RNA (242 nucleotides) under Ananas comosus (pineapple). Its description in RNAcentral is "long non-coding RNA (ACOM_LNC018645)". Lineage: Eukaryota; Viridiplantae; Streptophyta; Magnoliopsida; Poales; Bromeliaceae. The record is from RNAcentral.
UUGGUGCGGCUCAUUUUGCCAAAAGUAACAAAAAUUUGAAUGAUUGAAAGCGAACUGAAGCAAAAUAUAAUGGUUAAGGACGUGAUAAUUUUUUUUUUUUUUUGAGAGAGAUAGAUAGCACGCUAUCUGAUUCGAAGUUGGGUCUCGGAUACCAAGCACCUAGCUUUUUACCACUUACUCUAGGGACGGUCGAUAGGACGUGAUAACUUAAACAAAGGUUAUUUGGUCAAAAGUAAAAGAGU